GUACAGGUGACCGUAUCCUGAGCCCCGGGCAGAGGCAGGACCGAGCCGCAAUCCGAACAGAAAUCCAAGUCCGACUGAAAGCUGGAGCAAGUACUGGCGACGUCCAUGACAGACAUGCGGUCAGGUCUGAGGAGGGAGUUGGAAGUUUAUUAACAAAAGAAGAGUUCCUGUCCCAGGACCUAGGAGUAUAUAACCCGAGCCCUCCUCCCACGCACGCCUCCUGCCUCUGCGACCAAGGAGCCGAAACGCCCGGAAUUACCAGACAGCGUCGGGUACUAAAGGACUUGGAACCCUUUCCAGGGGCCGGCGAGAGGAGUUAAUCAACUCCGUGGACUAGGGCGCCAGCUCUGCGCCCGCGGCGGGGCAGCGAGAUAGAGCCGGCUAGAGCGUCAGGCUUUAGCGCUGACGAUUGGCUGUGACGUCAUAAUUAAUUGCGAACCGUGUCUCGGGAGCCUUAGAGAUGGAGACUGACGUGUUCCAAGGGAGAUUGCGGCUCCACUUUCACCCUGGUACUGAGCAGUUGAGCACAAAAUUGGUAACCAAUGCUGCGCUUCCAGCAAAUUUUCCCACCAGCACCCAAUCCUGGGAUAUUUAUUCUCUUUGUCUCACAUCCUACAGGAACGCAGUCGCGGGGUAUAUCCCCCUGAAAAGCGUACUUUGCCGAAUAAUGAUUUCUUUGGAUUAGAGAACUACAACUCCCCUGGGUCCUGAGCCGGUAUUUCCCUUUUGCGGCUGCACAGUAGUUAAAAACAAAGCUAAGUGUUCUGGGACGUAUAGUUCUAGCAUUCCUUGGGUCCCGCUGGCGAGCGUGGGCUUUCUGCAGAGCGCAACCGGCCUCGUGUGCUUUGUGGACGGUUCACCGCGCUUGGAAAGGGAUUGGCCUGGGGUACAUCAUCUAAAGAUCCUAGGAUUGCUGCAGGUCAGCAGUCUCCACUGGAAAAAAAGAUCUUGCAUGUAUUUCAAGUCCUUUGAUGAAUCAUGUGAUCUACUAGACCCUGAAGAUACAGUGAAGAGCAAAAGAACACGGAUGAAAUGAGAAACAAAAAUGAUGGAGAAAACCGAAAAAGGGGACACAUGGGAUCCAGGCAAUAGGAGAGCCAGCAUAAGAGAGAGGCAGAGGGAUGCCCAGGAUGAGGUGAAGACGAUCCUGGAAAUCAGCCCAGAUGUGCAUGCACCAGCCCACGUGUGGCAGGACCAAGGGAAGUGUCUUCACAAAGAUGAGCCUUUGAUUUGUUGGAGAAACUGUUACCAGAAAAACAGGUCCCGAUCCUGACCUCAAAAGAGUAUUCUUGGAUCUUGCACAGGAAGGAAUUAAAGAUCUAGCUCUGUCUCCUCAGUAAAUGUUCUAGGCUCUGACUGCAAGUGCUGACUUGGGCUCCCAGCCCCACACAGCCCCUCUGUUCCAUGAAAGGGCCAUCUAUGCAAAGUGCCCCCCAAAUGCCAAAGGAGCCAAUAAACCAAGGAACAAGACA
This 1472-nucleotide small RNA is filed under the name Pongo abelii (Sumatran orangutan). Its description in RNAcentral is "processed transcript". Lineage: Eukaryota; Metazoa; Chordata; Mammalia; Primates; Hominidae. The record is from RNAcentral.